GAUGAACGCUGGCGGCGUGCCUAAUACAUGCAAGUCGAGCGAACAGACGAGGAGCUUGCUCCUCUGACGUUAGCGGCGGACGGGUGAGUAACACGUGGAUAACCUACCUAUAAGACUGGGAUAACUUCGGGAAACCGGAGCUAAUACCGGAUAAUAUAUUGAACCGCAUGGUUCAAUAGUGAAAGACGGUUUUGCUGUCACUUAUAGAUGGAUCCGCGCCGCAUUAGCUAGUUGGUAAGGUAACGGCUUACCAAGGCAACGAUGCGUAGCCGACCUGAGAGGGUGACCGGCCACACUGGAACUGAGACACGGCCCAGACUCCUACGGGAGGCAGCAGUAGGGAAUCUUCCGCAAUGGGCGAAAGCCUGACGGAGCAACGCCGCGUGAGUGAUGAAGGUCUUCGGAUCGUAAAACUCUGUUAUUAGGGAAGAACAAAUGUGUAAGUAACUAUGCACGUCUUGACGGUACCUAAUCAGAAAGCCACGGCUAACUACGUG
This 497-nucleotide ribosomal RNA is filed under the name uncultured bacterium. RNAcentral describes it as "partial 16S ribosomal RNA". It matches the Rfam family "Bacterial small subunit ribosomal RNA", at positions 28 to 507 of the family's 1533-position model. The record is from RNAcentral.